GACGAACGCUGGCGGCGUGCUUAACACAUGCAAGUCGAACGGUGAAGCUCCAUCUUGCUGGCGUGGAUCAGUGGCGAACGGGUGUGUAACACGUGAGCAACCUGCCCCUGACUCUGGGAUACACGCUGGAAACGGCGUCUCAUACUGGAUAUGAGAAGGUUCCGCAUGGGCACUUUCUGGAAAGUGUGUCGGUUGGGGAUGGGAUCGCGGCCUAUCAGCUUGUUGGUGAGGUAAUGGCUCAAAAAGGCGACGACGGGUAGCCGGCCUGAGAGGGCGACCGGCCACACUGGGACUGAGACACGGGCCAGACGCCUACGGGAGGCAGCAGUGGGGAAUAUUGCACAAUGGGCGAAAGCCUGAUGCAGCGACGCCGCGUGAGGGAUGACGGCCUUCGGGUUGUAAACCUCUUUCAGCAGGGAAGAAGCGAAAGUGACGGUACCUGCAGAAGAAGCACCGGCUAACUACGUG
Molecule: ribosomal RNA, 468 nt
Filed under: uncultured bacterium
Lineage: Bacteria
Description: partial 16S ribosomal RNA
Rfam family: Bacterial small subunit ribosomal RNA
Source: RNAcentral